This 330-nucleotide ribosomal RNA is filed under the name uncultured bacterium. RNAcentral describes it as "bacterial SSU rRNA". It matches the Rfam family "Bacterial small subunit ribosomal RNA", at positions 568 to 898 of the family's 1533-position model. The record is from RNAcentral.
CGCGUAGGUGGUAGUGUAAGUCUGGGGUGGAAUCCCAGGGCUUAACCCUGGAACUGCCUUGGAAACUGUAUUACUUGAGUCAGUGAGGGGAGGGUAGAAUUCCUGGUGUAGCGGUGAAAUGCGUAGAUAUCAGGAGGAAGGCCUGUGGCGAAGGCGGCCCUCUGGCGCUGGACUGACACUGAGGCGCGAAAGCGUGGGGAGCAAACAGGAUUAGAUACCCUGGUAGUCCACGCCCUAAACGGUGGGCACUAGGUGUAGGGCUCGUAAGGGUUCUGUGCCGAAGGGAAACCAUUAAGUGCCCCGCCUGGGGAGUACGGCCGCAAGGUUGAA